GAUGAACGCUAGCGGCAGGCUUAACACAUGCAAGUCGAGGGGUAUAGUUCUUCGGAAUUAGAGACCGGCGCACGGGUGCGUAACGCGUAUGCAAUCUACCUUUCACAGAGGGAUAGCCCAGAGAAAUUUGGAUUAAUACCUCAUAGUAUUAUAGAAUGGCAUCAUUUUAUAAUUAAAGUCACAACGGUGAAAGAUGAGCAUGCGUCCCAUUAGCUAGUUGGUAUGGUAACGGCAUACCAAGGCUACGAUGGGUAGGGGUCCUGAGAGGGAGAUCCCCCACACUGGUACUGAGACACGGACCAGACUCCUACGGGAGGCAGCAGUGAGGAAUAUUGGACAAUGGGCGCAAGCCUGAUCCAGCCAUGCCGCGUGCAGGAUGACGGUC
Molecule: ribosomal RNA, 385 nt
Filed under: uncultured bacterium
Lineage: Bacteria
Description: bacterial SSU rRNA
Rfam family: Bacterial small subunit ribosomal RNA
Source: RNAcentral